GUGUUGCCCCUACUGCUCAGCCUUCCUGCCCCCACCAGACUGUCCUCUCGGUUCCAAAACGGAGAGACAGAAGCUCGGCAAAGAUGAUAAUGUUCUGUGCGGAGCCGGUGGGGGGAGAACGGCAUCUGCGAGGCUGGGGGAUCGCUUUUUCUAAGCACGAGAAUAUUCAGAAGGCGCCGCGGAAGAGCUGAUGUGGAAGACGGGACAGUCCUGAGACCCGGCGUCCGGUCAGCUCCCGGCAUCUGGAUUGUGUCUAGCGAGAAGAAACAAUUUUUAGAAACCAAACUGACAUUUAAAAAAAUAAAAAGAUACCUGUUUUGUACUCAUUUUAUCAGCCAUAAAAAUAAUCACUUGCUAACAUGUCCAAAGGCCUAAGGACCAGAAUAAAUUGGACGUAAAUAGACUGUUAAGAAAUCAA
This is a non-coding RNA of Miniopterus natalensis, 418 nucleotides long. Lineage: Eukaryota; Metazoa; Chordata; Mammalia; Chiroptera; Miniopteridae. The record is from RefSeq and is a predicted model, not a curated record.